GACGAACGCUGGCGGCGUGCCUAAUACAUGCAAGUCGAACGCCUUUACUUUAAACGUUGCUUGCUACACCGAAAGAAAGUGGGUGGCGAACGGGUGAGUAACAAUUUGGUAACUUGCCCAUCAUCGGGGGAUAAAACUUGGAAACAGGUCCUAAUACCCCAUAAUUCCAUUUCCCGCAUGGUUGAUGGAUGACAGGCUCUUUUGCGUCACUGAUGGAUGGACCCGCGGUGCAUUAGCAGGUUGGCGGGGUAACGGCCUACCAAGGCUGCGAUGCAUAGCCGACCUGAGGGGGUGAUCGGCCACACUGGGACUUGGACACGGCCCAGACUCCUACGGGGAGCAGCAGGAGGGAAUCCUCGGCAAUGGACGCAAGGCUGACCGAGCAACGACGCGUGAGUGAAGAAGGUUGUCGGAUUGUAAAACUCGGUUGUUAGAGAAGAAAAAGCAGGAGAGUGGAAAGUUCAUCCCUUGACGGUAUCUAACCAAAAAGCAACGGCUAACUACGUG
Molecule: ribosomal RNA, 507 nt
Filed under: uncultured bacterium
Lineage: Bacteria
Description: partial 16S ribosomal RNA
Rfam family: Bacterial small subunit ribosomal RNA
Source: RNAcentral